Molecule: transfer RNA, 71 nt
Filed under: Stegodyphus mimosarum
Lineage: Eukaryota; Metazoa; Arthropoda; Arachnida; Araneae; Eresidae
Rfam family: tRNA
About the family: Transfer RNA (tRNA) molecules are approximately 80 nucleotides in length. Their secondary structure includes four short double-helical elements and three loops (D, anti-codon, and T loops). Further hydrogen bonds mediate the characteristic L-shaped molecular structure. tRNAs have two regions of fundamental functional importance: the anti-codon, which is responsible for specific mRNA codon recognition, and the 3' end, to which the tRNAs corresponding amino acid is attached (by aminoacyl-tRNA synthetases). tRNAs cope with the degeneracy of the genetic code in two manners: having more than one tRNA (with a specific anti-codon) for a particular amino acid; and 'wobble' base-pairing, i.e. permitting non-standard base-pairing at the 3rd anti-codon position.
Source: Rfam by way of RNAcentral
GCUUUCGUGGUGUAACGGUAGCACACUCGGCUCGCAUUCGAGAGGUCCAGGUUCGAGUCUCGGAGAGGGCA